AGUGAACGCUGGCGGUAGGCCUAACACAUGCAAGUCGAACGGCAGCACAGUAAGAGCUUGCUCUUACGGGUGGCGAGUGGCGGACGGGUGAGGAAUACAUCGGAAUCUACUUUUUCGUGGGGGAUAACGUAGGGAAACUUACGCUAAUACCGCAUACGAACUACGGGUGAAAGCAGGGGAUCUUCGGACCUUGCGCGAUUGAAUGAGCCGAUGUCGGAUUAGCUAGUUGGCGGGGUAAAGGCCCACCACGGCGACGAUCCGUAGCUGGUCUGAGAGGAUGAUCAGCCACACUGGAACUGAGACACGGUCCAGACUCCUACGGGAGGCAGCAGUGGGGAAUAUUGGACAAUGGGCGCAAGCCUGAUCCAGCCAUACCGCGUGGGUGAAGAAGGCCUUCGGGUUGUAAAGCCCUUUUGUUGGGAAAGAAAAGCAGCAGGUUAAUACCCCGCUGUUCUGACGGUACCCAAAGAAUAAGCACCGGCUAACUUCGUG
This 492-nucleotide ribosomal RNA is filed under the name uncultured bacterium. Its description in RNAcentral is "partial 16S ribosomal RNA". It matches the Rfam family "Bacterial small subunit ribosomal RNA", at positions 29 to 507 of the family's 1533-position model. The record is from RNAcentral.